Etheostoma spectabile (orangethroat darter) is the source of this 197-nucleotide long non-coding RNA. RefSeq lists it as uncharacterized. The record is from RefSeq and is a predicted model, not a curated record. The transcript is spliced from 3 exons. Lineage: Eukaryota; Metazoa; Chordata; Actinopteri; Perciformes; Percidae.
AUUAAAGGAGCACAGCAACUUAUUGGGACUUUAGCUCAUUCACCGUGUCCCCAGAGUUAGACGAGUCCAUUCAUACCCUUCUCAUCUCCGUGCUGCUGUGACUCUGUCUGACGCCCUUGCCUAGCCUAGCACAGAUCCUGAAGGUAACUGGUUCCAACUAGCUCCUGCUCCCAAUGAUGACAAAAGUGACUGAAUAG